RNAcentral lists this ribosomal RNA (440 nucleotides) under uncultured bacterium. RNAcentral's name for it is "partial 16S ribosomal RNA". It matches the Rfam family "Bacterial small subunit ribosomal RNA", at positions 338 to 795 of the family's 1533-position model. The record is from RNAcentral.
CCUACGGGAGGCAGCAGUAGGGAAUAUUGCUCAAUGGGGGAAACCCUGAAGCAGCAACGCCGCGUGGAGGAUGAAGGUUUUCGGAUUGUAAACUCCUUUUGUUAGAGAAGAUAAUGACGGUAUCUAACGAAUAAGCACCGGCUAACUCCGUGCCAGCAGCCGCGGUAAUACGGAGGGUGCAAGCGUUACUCGGAAUAACUGGGCGUAAAGAGCGCGUAGGCGGGAUAGCAAGUCAGAUGUGAAAUCCUAUGGCUUAACCAUAGAACUGCAUUUGAAACUGUUAUUCUAGAGUAUGGGAGAGGUAGGUGGAAUUCUUGGUGUAGGGGUAAAAUGCGUAGAGAUCAAGAGGAAUACUCAUUGCGAAGGCGACCUGCUAGAACAUAACUGACGCUGAUGCGCGAAAGCGUGGGGAGCAAACAGGAUUAGAUACCCCAGUAGUC